UUGAGUGAGUUAGAAACUGAUGUUCUCUGCCCACAGAAACGGUACCUCAGAAGUCACAACACAAGCUUUCACAUGCAGGUCUGUCAGAACAUCCACAGACCUUUUCUGAGGGACUACCUUUUACAGUAAAGAAAGACAUCGGUCUCUAUGCUGACUCAAUCAGUGGUUGCA
This is an unclassified non-coding RNA of Lepidothrix coronata (blue-crowned manakin), 171 nucleotides long. The record is from Ensembl. NCBI's taxonomy places the organism in Eukaryota, Metazoa, Chordata, Aves, Passeriformes, Pipridae.